Molecule: microRNA, 21 nt
Filed under: Populus trichocarpa (black cottonwood)
Lineage: Eukaryota; Viridiplantae; Streptophyta; Magnoliopsida; Malpighiales; Salicaceae
Also listed under: 1 other name
Description: ptc-miR477a-3p
Gene: ptc-miR477a-3p
Source: miRBase by way of RNAcentral
GGAUGCCUUUGGGGGAGAUUG